GAGCACUGAUAACACGACGGGUAUUUCUCCCCCUCCCUUUCACUAUUAACUCACUAAUAUUCAAACCCCGCCAUCUCUCUCUCGUUGGCAACGCGGGACAUUUAGCAGAGAGGAAAAACACGUUCAAAUUCUUUAUUGCGAGGGUUCUCGGAGGGGAAACAAACGAUCAAACAAACCCAACCCGUUCCCAGCUCCUCUGGCGAUUUCUUGCCUUUAGUGCAUAACCGCAGCAUCUCCGUGCGGACGCGGAGCUUGGGAAUGCUCAACUCUAACAAAGGCGUAAGGGAGAGCUUUCUCUGUUACAGACAAAACGAGGGGCACAGUCAGGAGGGUGCGUGUCUCCUGCAGAAAUGAGCCUGGUACGUUCACCAAAGGCUUUUUCUCCCUCUUUCUCUCUCCUUUUUUUUUUUUUUUUUUUCCUUUCUUUCUUUUGCUUUUCGGGCAUCAUAUUUUUUUUCUCGACCGCAGUGAGCAGCCAGCAGGCUGCCUGGGAACCUUACAGAAUCUGAGCUCACAGAGAGUGCAUUCGAUGGGUCCUCCCGCGCGGAGUGGUCCGGGAGAUCGGCCCUAAAAGGAGAAGGAAAGGAGAAGUUAGAGCCCGCGACACCCAAAGGCCGCACGAAUCACUGGGGGAGGGAUCGCACCCUCCUCUCGGUCCUUUUCGGGGGCGGCGAGGGGACGCAGAGGACGAUCUUUUCUGUUCAAACCCUUCCCGCGGGGCGACCCAAAAGGGAAAGCUAUUACUCCCGAGCUGCGGUUUCCUCGAGGAGAGCGGGGCCUGGGAAUGGCACAGCGCUGCCCGUCCGUGCGCGGAGAGCCGUCUCGCAGCUCUGCACCGCGUUGUGGAGCCGGGAUGCGUGGGUUAUAGCUGGAAGGGCUGAACGCAAUUCUUCCUAAAGUCAUAAAUCAAACGCUUUCUAUGAAUGAGAAUGUCAUCAAAGAGAUCAAUUGCAGGAACACAUGCACAAAUAAAAAUCCUCUUACGUAUUUGCCGGGGCUGGGGAUCCCCGUCUAAAACCAUUAAGUGAGAAGGCGUUUAGUCAUAAUUCAUUUUUAUUGCUCCUUUAAAACAACAGCUUGGCUGAGCUGCGGCCGCGGCGAAACCCCGGCCCUGCUCCUGCCCUCCUCCCGCUGCAGCCCUGCGCGGGGCGGGCGGCCCCAGCGGCCCCGCGCCUCUUUGGCACGGGCCGAACCGGGCUGCGGUGCUCAGAGGCAUUUUGUGGUCGGGUGUCUGCGUGCCGCCAACGCUUUAAAAAAUAAUAAUAAUAAAAAUAAUAAUAAAAAAAAAAAAAAGAAAGAGAGGGAAAAAAAAAAUCCCCGACAAGAUUUCAAGUUUUCGCCGACUCGAUUGAAAUAAACGUGGGGGUGCAGCUCUCAGGAGUCGCCUCAAUUCCUCUCCAUGAGCCCCGGGGCGCUGCGGGGGGAGAACUCCCACGCCAAAGCUGAAAUGGGCGGAAUGGCCCCUUGGGCCCCACUCUCGGACAGGAAACGGCGAUUACCGGCCCCGGCCCGCAGCGGAGCCGCCGAGGGGCAGCGAUCGCCCCCGGCCCUGCAGCCACUGCCCCUCACGCACAGAACCGGCAGCGAAAACCCAAAGCAUCGCGAGAGACAAUGCAACAAAAGGGAUGGGGGCUGCUCCCAACAAUGGCACAGAAAAGGGGGGGAAAAAAGGAUUACGUGAUGCUGGAGGCUGCAAGAGAGGUGCUGUAAUUUGCUCCAUUUGCAGAGAAAUGCAUAUUUUUUUCUUCGAAGCCUGCUGUUGUAAAAAUAAAAGGCACUGAAAGGAUGCCAGCUCUUUUAUUGGUAAACAGUCCCAGCGGCCCUCCUUCUUGCUCUGCCUUAUGCUGUAUUUAUCACAACAGGUUUACGGGAAUGAAACGAAUGUGCUUCCGUCCCUUACCGCAGCCCACACUGAUGCGGUAUGAUGCCAUAAACGCCCCCGGAGUGCCGUUGCUGUUGCUCUCCCCACGACCCCUCCUCCCCCCCAGAGUUUAAGAAACGGAACCUUUCCGGAGGGCCCUCAGCCACCCGUGCCUGCGCGGUAAAUCAGAAUAAACAGAAAUCCUAAGAGCGGCCCUUCAGCUUUUGCUGCCCGUCGAGAGGCCUUGGGGAUGGCGUGGGGUAAGGGCUGACCUAAGAGCAGCGGGAGAGCCCGCACCUCGGGGAGGUUGUUGUGGUUCGGAGGGGAGGGAGGAGCUUGCGGGUGAGUGAGUGUGUGCGUGUGUUGGUGAGCAGGGAGAGGUGGCAGGGCAGAGGGAAGCCUUUGGGAUUUCAAAGCAAGCAGCAGCGAGCACACAACGAUGGAAGAGACGGCCGGGAGUGCACCUGCAGCGGCGUAGGAGGCGGCUCCUCCCGGGGCCGGUGCUGAGGAGCAUUGAGUGCUGGUGCCAGCCCCUCUCCCUGAAGAUAGAUGAGAGCCCUGGGACGGAUGGAUGCCCGCUCUUUGCAUCCCCUUUCUCUUUCCGCAUAUGUAAACAGAAUAUGAGGUCGCAACCCGCGUCCCAUCGCCCCCCGUCCUUUUCUUUCCACGGACCCUUAUAUGUAUUUUAUUUACCCGUGGAUGGGGGUGGGGAAGGGCAAGCUUAAACCGAUGCUCGGCGCGGUUCCCAAGGGUCCUGGGGCCGCCUCUGCCACCGGCCAUCUGCCACCUCCCACCACUGCCGGCCUGGGCGGUGGCGAAGCGCGGGGACAAAAGGGUCGGUCUGAGGGUCCUGCGUCUCCUGCCUCUCUCCGGGCCCUGCCCCGGGCCGCCUCCCCGGGCUGCGACCUGCGGCAAGCUGGGCACCCUUCCCCCGCCCGGCCCGCCG
This 2807-nucleotide long non-coding RNA is filed under the name Gallus gallus (chicken). RNAcentral's name for it is "lncRNA (ENSGALG00010002663.1)". Lineage: Eukaryota; Metazoa; Chordata; Aves; Galliformes; Phasianidae. The record is from RNAcentral.